Molecule: ribosomal RNA, 213 nt
Filed under: uncultured Lactobacillus sp.
Lineage: Bacteria; Bacillati; Bacillota; Bacilli; Lactobacillales; Lactobacillaceae
Description: partial 16S ribosomal RNA
Rfam family: Bacterial small subunit ribosomal RNA
Source: RNAcentral
GGUAGGCGUAAUAACCGGACGUAAGAAAAGACGGAGUCGCAUGAUCAGCUUUUAAAAGGCGGCGUAAGCUGUCGCUAUGGGAUGGCCCCGCGGUGCAUUAGCUAGUUGGUAAGGUAAAGGCUUACCAAGGCGAUGAUGCAUAGCCGAGUUGAGAGACUGAUCGGCCACAUUGGGACUGAGACACGGCCCAAACUCCUACGGGAGGCAGCAGUC